CGCCCGGACCCUCCAUCUCCGUCAGCCCCAGCGGGGUGAUUGCCCCGGGGCGCACCAUCACCAUCCGCUGUCAGUGCUGGUGCGAGGCCAGGAGGUUAUUGCUGGAUAAAGGUGGAAUCCGAAUCCAGGAGGUGGAUGCUGAUGGUGACGGGGGUGAAUUCACCAUCCCCAGCGCCAGACAGGAAGACGGAGGGAUCUACAGCUGCCGAUCUCGCUCCAGAUCGGAGCCACCCAACUGGUCGGAUCCCAGUGAUUCCGUGCGGAUUGUUGUAGCAGAGCUCCCUCCGCCCGGACCCUCCAUCUCCGUCAGCCCCAGCGGGGUGAUCGUCCCAGGGCGCACCAUCACCAUCCGCUGUCAGUGCUGGUGCGAGGCCAGGAGGUUAUUGCUGGAUAAAGGUGGAAUCCGAAUCCAGGAGGUGGAUGCUGAUGGUGACGGGGGUGAAUUCAUCAUCCCCAGGGCCAGACAGGAAGACGGAGGGAUCUACAGCUGCCGAUCUCGCUCCAGAUCGGAGCCGCCCAACUGGUCGGAUCCCAGUGAUUCCGUGCGGAUUGUUGUAGCAGGGGGAACCGACCCGACCCAGCCUGGAGCGGCGCCGACUCCCACUCGACCAGGCAGCGCGGGGCCAG
Non-coding RNA from Chrysemys picta bellii (western painted turtle), 627 nucleotides. The record is from RefSeq and is a predicted model, not a curated record. NCBI's taxonomy places the organism in Eukaryota, Metazoa, Chordata, Testudines, Emydidae.